RNAcentral lists this unclassified non-coding RNA (1931 nucleotides) under Hevea brasiliensis (rubber tree). The record is from RNAcentral. Lineage: Eukaryota; Viridiplantae; Streptophyta; Magnoliopsida; Malpighiales; Euphorbiaceae.
UCACACCGAGGUAAGCAAACGACAAACGCAUAUAAGUAAGAGUAAAAUUAAUGGAAGAACUCACAAUAACAAUACAAUUUGCAAUGCCAAAUAGAGGGCUUCAAAAUUUAUUCUUAAAAAUUUUUCACUGAUAUUGGGGAAGGCAAUAAAAAUAAAGAAAAUGUAAUAUAUGUUCAUUGAAACUGGGAAAAAUAUUUUUUGGCACAUCAAGGGAGACCUCAACAAAAAUUAUUUUUUGGCUGCACUGACUGCACACUAGUUGCAGCCACAAGGUUAAAAUUAUAUCAUUAAUCAUUUUAACUGUCGGCAAAGCUAUACUAGAGAGAGGCCACAGAUGACUACAACCAAAUAAACACUGCAGUCAAUGAAGAUGCCACAAAUGGCCUGGUACAGGAACAAACCUCUCUCCAAGAGCUUGACUGCUCCAGCCCAGUUAUCUUCAUCUUCUUUACCUGAAUUUUGUUCUUCCUCAAUCUCCUCGGAGUCAUUUCCACUCUCACGAAACAAACGGGCAAGCACAAUUGUUACAUCAGUUAACAGGAUUAUGCAAAAAGGCCUUGAGGCAAUGAAGCUAUCUGAAUUCACAAUGACAAGAAAAGCUACAAUGAGAGAACAAAUAGCUCGCGUUCUCUCAGAAGCUAUAAUGCAGUAGUUUAUCCUUUUGGAAGAGAACAAUUUGGGCUGACUUGGUGCCUUUUGAACUGAUGGUGUGAUCUCAGAAGGCUGCUGCAGUUUGCUCAAGGUGUCAGGGCUUGUCGCACUUUUCACCAAACGAGUUUCCGCUUGGUUUCCUCUAUGAAAGUUUCUGGCCCCUGGAUACUCAUUGAUGGUCCUGGUUUUCAUGAAUUUGGAACCAGAGACAUCAUCCGUUUCCUCAGGACCAGCAUUGAUUUGAGCAUUAUCAUUAGGAGAGAACAUAAGUGAUGGAGAAGAUUCCGUGUGCGCAUGUCGACGUUGACGUUGAUUUGAUGGUGAUGGUAGCGACGGCGAUGGACUGAGAGCACGGACUUGGCCGGUGAUGAGAGCCAAGCGAUCACUCCCUCUCUCCAUAAUUCUUCUUCUUCGUUCUUGUCUGACAUUGCUAUCCAUUUCUCUCUCUCUCUGUCUCUCUCGCCAAGCUCCCUCCGAAUUCUGCCUCUCAAAAACGCCUAUUCAGUUAGUUAUUUCCGUUAUAUCAGAAACGGUGCCGUAAUGGAAAUUGCAUUUUCAACAUAUAUUCUUGCUUCUCUAUUCUCUCAUCUUUAUACCUUCUCAAUAUUUAAGACUAAAAUAGAAUAAAUAAAAAGCUCUAUUACAGCGUGAAUUUCCAUGACAAUUUUGGGUGCAAUGUUGGAAGAAUCCAAACAAGGGAGCAAUGUUUGAAACGUUAUGCGAGCAAAGCUUUCAUCCUCCAAGCUGAAGAUGCCACUAUCACCAGGCCCAAAAGGAAAAUAAGUUUGAAGCUCACUUCUGCAAUGCAUGCAAACCAUCUGCUUACACGUGUGAAGGCACUCAACUAUAAUGGCUAUAAAUUUUUAUGCUAAUGCUGGAAGAGCAAAUGUUAGUCAAUCAAAAUAGAGUUUCAGAAAUUGGUUUUCGCCAUUGUUUGUUUAUUCGCAUUGUGAACCAGAAGGUAACAUGACAAAUUUAGCAAGCAUUUCUUCAUAAUUCUUCAUUUUCCUUACUUGUCCAUGAAAUCCUCUUAGUCAUUUGCGACUUCCUGAUGGUUCUGGAUUAUAACAGAUGCUUAGAAAUGCCCCAUGCUCAGUGGGGAUUCUAGUGGAUAGAGGUCUUGGAUUAGCUGAGAAUAUAUCAACAACGCCAAGAUCCUUCCAUGUAGCAGUCAUCUUCAUUGGAGGCAAGGAUGACAGAGAAGCACUAGCCUAUGCAGGACGUGUUGCGCGACAUCCAGGAGUAAAGCUCACAGUGAUAAGAUUCCUGCUUGAUGAUAA